CUGGCCUCAGAGGGACUCUGGAGGUGGCCCUGGGUGGCAUACAGCACCAAGGAAGAGAGCGCUGCAAGACCUGUUGGGCAGUACCUGGUACCCAAUAAGAAGGACAUGCCGUAUGACAUUGUGGACCUCACAGAGGAAGUAGGAAUGAAGUGGCAGAACAGUAUGCUUAAUGCAGAACUGUGUAUAAGGGGAAAAAGAGGGAACUGGACAAGAGUUUCCUUCCUUGCUGUUGCGGAGAAGGAAUGCUACACAGUCCUUCAUGGCUAAAACACUCCACCAGCCACAGCUCCGUGCAGACUUCUCUCUUCCUCUCAGACUGGAUUUCUGCCCAGUGUGUUGAAAGCCAUGUCUCACUGACCUGUUGAAUUCAGAGCUCUUUUUGCUUAAUACAACGCAUUAUGAACAAAGACACAGGUCAUUGUGAACUGGAAACUGGUUGACCUGAGUGACCGGGACCUGGCAAUGCUGGAGUUUGCUCUUGCAGUCUGUCAAGCUGAUAACAUCACUGAAGAGCAUUUCCAGAAGCUGGAGAGGCAUGGUUUUGACCAUGAAGAUGCCUGGGACAUAGGCAUAAUUUCUGCUUUUUUUGCUAUGUCUAACUGUAUAGCUCAUUAUAUUGACCUCUGCCCAAACACAGAAUUCUACACUGUGGGCAGGAUGUCCUGUGGAGAGAAGGAAAAGGAAGAAGCUGAGUGUGCCUGACAUGGCUCUCUGAUGCCUACGCAUCUGAAAGACUGAUCAAGCUCUUAAUUCUCAAGCUAGAGUGGCUUAUUUCUCAAUAUGUAAAAGGGUUAAAAAGCUAAUGCCAGACUGUAGCCAUGAGGGAUGGUGGGCUUACCUCCUCAGCAUUUGAGCUGACUCUAGUGCUUCUGUGUUCCUGGCACAGCUGGAAGAGCAUAGCUUUGGUUUUGGCGCUGGCCGCACAGGUAACAAGCUUGUUGGGUCACGAUGUGACUUAAAACAAGCUGUUCCAUGGCACUUUGCCAGCUCUGCGGUGUGAGAUCUAAUACACUUCAU
Molecule: long non-coding RNA, 1017 nt
Organism: Pygoscelis adeliae (Adelie penguin)
Lineage: Eukaryota; Metazoa; Chordata; Aves; Sphenisciformes; Spheniscidae
Exons: 4
Source: RefSeq, a predicted model, not a curated record